This 537-nucleotide ribosomal RNA is filed under the name uncultured Mycobacterium sp. RNAcentral describes it as "bacterial SSU rRNA". It matches the Rfam family "Bacterial small subunit ribosomal RNA", at positions 54 to 606 of the family's 1533-position model. Lineage: Bacteria; Bacillati; Actinomycetota; Actinomycetes; Mycobacteriales; Mycobacteriaceae. The record is from RNAcentral.
CAUGCAAGUCGAACGGAAAGUGCUCUUCGGAGUGACUCGAGUGGCGAACGGGUGAGUAACACGUGGGUGAUCUGCCCUGCACUUUGGGAUAAGCCUGGGAAACUGGGUCUAAUACCGGAUAGGACCACGGCCUUCAUGGGUUGUGGUGGAAAGCUUUUGCGGUGUGGGAUGGGCCCGCGGCCUAUCAGCUUGUUGGUGGGGUAAUGGCCUACCAAGGCGACGACGGGUAGCCGGCCUGAGAGGGUGUCCGGCCACACUGGGACUGAGAUACGGCCCAGACUCCUACGGGAGGCAGCAGUGGGGAAUAUUGCACAAUGGGCGCAAGCCUGAUGCAGCGACGCCGCGUGAGGGAUGACGGCCUUCGGGUUGUAAACCUCUUUCAGUAGGGACGAAGCGUAAGUGACGGUACCUAUAGAAGAAGCACCGGCCAACUACGUGCCAGCAGCCGCGGUAAUACGUAGGGUGCGAGCGUUGUCCGGAAUUACUGGGCGUAAAGAGCUCGUAGGUGGUUUGUCGCGUUGUUCGUGAAAACUCACA